This 467-nucleotide ribosomal RNA is filed under the name uncultured bacterium. RNAcentral's name for it is "partial 16S ribosomal RNA". It matches the Rfam family "Bacterial small subunit ribosomal RNA", at positions 28 to 507 of the family's 1533-position model. The record is from RNAcentral.
GACGAACGCUGGCGGCGUGCUUAACACAUGCAAGUCGAACGGUGAAGCUCCAGCUUGCUGGAGUGGAUCAGUGGCGAACGGGUGUGUAACACGUGAGCAACCUGCCCCUGACUCUGGAAUAAGCGCUGGAAACGGCGUCUAAUACUGGAUACGAGAAGGGUCCGCAUGGGCAUUUUCUGGAAAGUUUUUCGGUUGGGGAUGGUCUCGCGGCCUCUGAGCUUGUUGGAGAGGUAAUGGCUCACCAAGGCGACGACGGGUAGCCGGCCUGAGAGGGCGACCGGCCACAAUGGCCCUGAGACACGGCCCAGACUCCUACGGGGGGAAGCAGUGGGGAAUAUUGCACAAAGGGCGAAAGCCUGGUGGAGCGACGCCGCGUGCGGGAGGACGGCAUUCAGGUUGUAAACCUCUUCAGCAGGGCAGAAGCGAAAGUGACGUUACCUGCAGAAGAAGCACCGGCUAACUACGUG